Rattus norvegicus (Norway rat) is the source of this 69-nucleotide non-coding RNA. The record is from Rfam. NCBI's taxonomy places the organism in Eukaryota, Metazoa, Chordata, Mammalia, Rodentia, Muridae.
GGGGAUUUAGCUCAGUGGUAGAGCGCUUGCCUAGCAAGCACAAGGCCCUGGGUUCGGUCUCCAGCUCCA